GUUUAGCCCUGAUCGAAGUGGAAAUUUUGCAGGAUGAAAUGAUAUUGUUUUUUGGCUUAAAAGAGCGACCGCAGGAAGCUACUUUUUAGGCAUUAAAACAAAUCAUUUUGACAAAAAAAUUGCAAUGAGAGCGGGAUUGGCU
Molecule: small RNA, 142 nt
Filed under: Flavobacterium noncentrifugens
Lineage: Bacteria; Pseudomonadati; Bacteroidota; Flavobacteriia; Flavobacteriales; Flavobacteriaceae
Description: Flavo-1 RNA
Source: RNAcentral